AUUUAAUUGUUGGCAGUGGAGGUGAGGGUAUCUUGCUGGAGAUUCUUGCCUACGUGAGGCCUACUAAGGGAUUGCAGGGGCAGUAUAAAGAGGAGAAGAACAGCAACGGACUGCUCUGCUUCUAAUGACAUCAAGUGAUUUGAAUCUGACUCUGAUGCUACCAUAAAUUCUCUCAAAUCUUUCUUUCUCCUUGCCUUCCCUCUGGGUUGGAAAAACAAACAAACAAACAAAAACAACAACCAACUACAGAAGUAGCUAUUGCCCAGGAAUUGAGCAAGAAAUUCUUCAUUUCCACCUAUAGCCCUGGAAUAUUGUCUGACAAGCACAAGAAAAAUAAGCUCAGCAAACUGCAGUCCAGAGGCCAUCUUGUACAAUGUGUAUAAUGCUAAUCCCAAAGCAUUAGAUGUCUCAUUGCUGGUGGGAGCUGUUGGAGAAGAACAAUAAAAAGGACAACGUUUUUGGGGGAAAGUAAUGCAAGAAUUGUUUCAGGAUUUGCUCCUGGGCUGCUGAAAAAGUAGGGGUUGAGCACAAAAUUCUUAGGCUUGAAAAGACAAAAUUGCUUGAAGUGUAGGAGGAAGACCUGUUUCCCCCUCUCUAUCCUAUU
Molecule: long non-coding RNA, 604 nt
Organism: Tympanuchus pallidicinctus (lesser prairie-chicken)
Lineage: Eukaryota; Metazoa; Chordata; Aves; Galliformes; Phasianidae
Exons: 3
Source: RefSeq, a predicted model, not a curated record